This 207-nucleotide ribosomal RNA is filed under the name uncultured bacterium. RNAcentral's name for it is "partial 16S ribosomal RNA". It matches the Rfam family "Bacterial small subunit ribosomal RNA", at positions 568 to 774 of the family's 1533-position model. The record is from RNAcentral.
CGUGUAGGCGGCCUGGAAGGUCAGCUGUGAAAACUCGAGGCUCAACCUCGAGACGUCGGUUGAAACCACCUGGCUAGAGUCCGGAAGAGGAGUGUGGAAUUCCCGGUGUAGCGGUGAAAUGCGCAGAUAUCGGGAAGAACACCCGUGGCGAAGGCGGCACUCUGGGACGGUACUGACGCUGAGACGCGAAAGCGUGGGGAGCGAACA